GUUGACCUCGGAUCGGGUAGGGAUACCCGCUGAACUUAAGCAUAUCAA
This 48-nucleotide ribosomal RNA is filed under the name Schizothyrium qianense. RNAcentral describes it as "partial 28S ribosomal RNA". The record is from RNAcentral. Lineage: Eukaryota; Fungi; Ascomycota; Dothideomycetes; Mycosphaerellales; Schizothyriaceae.